UCAAACAUGUAUCAGUGUAGUCCAUUUCAUGCAUACAUUUCAUACAUUUGAUAUAGCAAAGAAUAGGGAAACAAGAUUAAAUCUUGAAUCACAAAUUGCAUUAAUUAGAGUUAUCACAUAAAGCAUUUCCAUUAAAAAUAUAAGUAGGUGUUAUACAACAUUCACAAUAUUAUAUUCGCAUGUUACAUAACAUGCCACAUAUCCUAAUGCCUGAUAUUUUGGCUUGAUUUCAACAUGAAAUGAAAAUCAUGGCAACUCUUUCCCUCAUGAUCCACCAUGUUCCACCUUUCAUGCUUCCAUUGGACUUAUGUCAUCAACCAUCAAGCCAAUGCAUUAUGACCUUUGCUCCAUACUCCCUGUCGAACCAAUGAAUGAAGGCAUUUCAAACCAAGUCUCCACCUGCAGAGUUUAACACAGACCAAAUUCUUCAAGAUUACUAACAGAAUUCACAUCAACUUAAGCAUCAAUUGAAAUUCAAAUUGUCCUAACAUAAAACUAACUCCAAUUGAUUCCAUUAUUAACUAGCAAUUAAUAACAUAACAUUGAAUUUCAGAAAACAUUCCAUUUAGAAUUUUCAUUUCACAUGAGUUUCAAUUUCUAACCGACUAACAUCCUACAAAUUCUCAUGACAAAAAUUUAAACCUGCAUAACAAUUCCAAGUGCAGUCACAACAAGCUCUAUUAUUACAUUACCGGGUGGCUCAUAAAACUCAUAACUAACAGUAACAGAGUAGCUAAUAGGACCUUGUAAUUCAUUCAACAACACAAAACGGGAUUCCACGAUAAGCUAAUGGAAAUGCUAACAGUUCAUGAACCAUAACUAACUCACUAACUUCACUUAACAGAAGUACAUCACAACCAACCUUAACUAACUUAUCAAGGCAAUUGCGCUCCUAACCCUAACUGAGUCUAACUAAUUCUAACAGUGUUACUAACCUAUAACCGUUUUACACAAGGGAGAAUUAACAUAGUUUGGGAUCUGUCAACUUCAAUCCCUAUAAAUCCAAUGAGCACAUAAUCAUUGAGGAGCUAGUUUUCUCUCACCAUUUUUCUGCAUUUACCCUCGGAAUUUCUUCAUCUCCCUCAUUCUCGCUCUCUCUCGAAAACCUCACACAGAGCUCUAUUGGGAAGCCAUUGGAGCUUCACAUUGAAGCUCUAAUUAUGCUCGAGUUAGACCUUAUCCUCACACUCUCUCAAUCAGCCUCUACAUAUUUCAUUCGUCAAUCUCACACAAGCAUCAAGAACAAUGUAACAUCACAGCAACGGCACAUCCUACCGGCUAAAGCAAAGAAGAAGAAAAAGAAGAACAGAAUCAAGCAUCGAAGAGUUCGAGAUUUUAGCUGAUCCUCUGAAUUUCCUAUCAUCUUUAAGGCUCUCAAUAUUGACCGAAAUAAUUCACCGCUCCGAAGGUUGGUGCACGUCUUUCGAACUCCCCUAUUUGAUCCUAUUGCUGGUUACCAAAUGAUAGAAUUGAUGUAGAUAAACCUUAACCCCAAGGUUGUGGAUCGAUUUGAGCCAUGGUGACAAUUUAAUUUAGUUUUUACAUUCUAGGGUUCUUAAUAUAUUUCCUUCCAUUCAAAUUAAUGGUUGAAAAUUGAUAGAAAUGAAGGGAGGGUUUAGAGAGAGGACACAGGGACGAGCGUUUGGUGGUUGAAAUUUGACGUGUGACCCGCUCCCCCGCCUCCGGCGCGGCGAAGCCUCCGUUUCCAGUAACGCCUUUUGGCUGAGAAAGAAGAGAAUGAAACGCAUGUUCUGAGUUUUCAUUCAAAUAAUUCUUCACGCGAUUUAAGCUUCAAUGCAAUUAACCACCAUUUAUUACACAUGCGUCCCAAUGCACUAUUCACGUAAGGCAUGC
This 1854-nucleotide long non-coding RNA is filed under the name Lathyrus oleraceus (garden pea). RNAcentral describes it as "Pisum sativum (pea) long non-coding RNA (PSAT_LNC025373)". The record is from RNAcentral. Lineage: Eukaryota; Viridiplantae; Streptophyta; Magnoliopsida; Fabales; Fabaceae.